CGCAUCUGUGCAUGCAGCAUAUCAAUAAGCGGAGGAAAAGAAACUAACAAGGAUUCCCCUAGUAACGGCGAGUGAAGCGGGAAGAGCUCAAAUUUGAAAUCUUAAAGGGUUUCCCUUUACGAAUUGUAGUUUAAAGAAGUGUUUCUCUGUUGAGGUUUUGGUAAAAGUUCUUUGGAAUAGGACAUCAUAGAGGGUGAGAAUCCCGUAUUUGACCUUUACUUUCAACUUUGUGAUACACUCUCAAAGAGUCGGAUUGUUUGGGAAUGCAGUCCAAAAUGGGUGGUAAAUUUCAUCUAAAGCUAAAUAUUGGCGAGAGACCGAUAGCGAACAAGUACCGUGAGGGAAAGAUGAAAAGAACUUUGAAAAGAGAGUUAAACAGUACGUGAAAUUGUCAAAAGGGAAGCGUUUGACACCAGUGUUGUUUUUCUGAAAAUCAAUUAAAGAACUGUUUAUGCUAAGUUGUUUAGACUUUAUCAGCUAUCUGUUUAGUUUUGAGCUUUUCUUUAAUGCACUUUUCAGUUAACAAGUCAACAUCAAUUUCUUUUGCUGUAAAAAAGCUUGAGGAAGGUGGCUUGAGAUUCGUCUUAAGUGUUUAUAGCCUCUUGCCUAUGCAGUCGGAGAGAUUGAGGUCUGCAGCGUAGAUCCUUCGGGGCUAAAUGCAUUUGUGCUAAGUUAUAGCAUUUUAUAGACAACUUGUUGACUAUGAUUUGUCUUGUAGCUUACUCGCUUAUGAUUAUUUUACCUACGCUUAGGAUGUUGAAUCUGUGCGAGACUAC
This 776-nucleotide ribosomal RNA is filed under the name uncultured Neocallimastigales. Its description in RNAcentral is "partial large subunit ribosomal RNA". It matches the Rfam family "Eukaryotic large subunit ribosomal RNA", at positions 26 to 644 of the family's 3401-position model. Lineage: Eukaryota; Fungi; Neocallimastigomycota; Neocallimastigomycetes; Neocallimastigales. The record is from RNAcentral.